This is a long non-coding RNA of Lethenteron reissneri (Far Eastern brook lamprey), 1027 nucleotides long. RefSeq lists it as uncharacterized. The record is from RefSeq and is a predicted model, not a curated record. Lineage: Eukaryota; Metazoa; Chordata; Hyperoartia; Petromyzontiformes; Petromyzontidae.
CCUUUGAGUAUGCAAAUCCUUUUUGAUAUGGGGUGGAGCGGUGGUGCAGUUGUUUUGCAGGCUCCGUUAGGAUCCUGGCGGCCGGAGUCCCGAUUCCCAAACAUGAACUGGCGGCCGUCCAGGAAUAACAACGCCCCAGCAGAACCUACAACCGUGUGGGGCGGUUGGGAGAGGAGGAGGUACGAAGCGAUCGUCCCCGCCGCGUCUACCCCACUGCCGCCCAUCGCGCCGAGACUUCGAGAGAAAGUCACGCACAACAGCUUACGUCAGUGCAUCACCUGCAAUGCAGUGAGCGCUCGAUGCGGCAACAACGCAAGCACGGGGCCUCGCGCGCAAUUCAUUCAGACGCCGACCGCAAGCAGACCUCCAGCGCCCUUGCGAAGCCAACUCGGAAUCCACUCGACAGCAGGGGCGGCCACCGUGAACGUGAAACGCGCAGGGCGCUACGUUCUGAUGCAGAGCCGCGAGGGGAACUCCCAUCCCCGAGGAUACACACAUUUAUUAAACCCGUCUCUGUGAGUAUUUGGCCAGGGCAUUUCUUCCAGCGGUCUAAGCGUUUUCCCACAGGCAUCCACUCGUUUUGAAGUUGCGCAAAAUCUAAAAUAUUUUCCUGUCAUGCGAAAUAGCAAAAGUCGAUAAUAAUAAUGAUGCCUCUAUUUAGUCAGAUAUAUGGCCCAGUCAGUGUAGCAGCAGCCGGUGAAACUGGCCGUGCUGCGUUUCCGCUGCCCCUCACCCAUGCAUCCUCUCGGCCUCCCGCUGAGGCUGCCUCACUUCGUUGAGUGCCAACAACUUUCGUCCCAAAAAAACACUAAGCACUGUCACAGGAAUGUGGAAUUUUCACAUCUGGCUCAUUGGUGGUGCCGUGCGUUUGGGGCAGACAUUUCCAGGCGUGCCAAAUCGGAACGCGUGGGAAGCACUAAACUAAAUUAAAGACGAAAGUGUUUUUUUCUAUUUUACCAGAGAAGGCCCACUCAGCGAUAUAGCCUCUUUUUUCAGAAGCGACCUGCCCAUCACGAAUGAUAGCUUC